GGGCGAGCUGGGCUGCAGCGGCGUCCGAUAGGGUGAUGGAGGCUGGGGGGGACAAGGGGGGGAAGGGUUUUAGGGGGGGGAGAGGGGUCCUAUGGGGUCGGAUGUGAGCCACAAGGAACCCAAAAGGACCCGCUAAUUGGAUCCUGGUGGUCCUAUGGGGUCAGAUGUGAGCCCCAAGGACCCCAAAAGGAACCACAGUUUGGAUCCAGGUGGUGCUAUGGGGUCGGAUGUGAGCCACAAGGAACCCAAAAGGAACCGCAGAUUGGGUCCAGGUGGUGCUAUGGGGUCAGACGUGAGCCCCAAGGACCCCAAAAGGACCCACAGAUUGGAUCCUGGUGGUCCUAUGGGGUCGGAUGUGAGCCACAAGGAACCCAAAAGGACCCACAGAUUGGAUCCUGGUGGUCCUAUGGGGUCAGACGUGAGCCACGAGGAACCCAAAAGGACCCGCUGAUUGGAUCCUGGUGGUCCUAUGGGGUCGGAUGUGAGCCACAAGGAACCCAAAAGGACCCACAGAUUGGAUCCUGGUGGUCCUAUGGGGUCAGAUGUGAGCCACAAGGAACCCAAAAGGACACAAAGGGUCAUCAAAAGGACCCACAGAUUGGAUACUGGUGGUCCUAUGGGGUCGGAUGUGAGCCACGAGGAACCCAAAAGGACCCGCUGAUUGGGUCCUGGUGGUCCUAUGGGGUCAGAUGUGAGCCACAAGGACCCCAAAAGGACCCACAGAUUGGGUCCUGGUGGUGCUAUGGGGUCAGACGUGAGCCCCAAGGACCCCAAAAGGACCCACAGAUUGGAUCCUGGUGGUCCUAUGGGGUCAGAUGUGAGCCACAAGGACCCCAAAAGGACCCACUGAUUGGGUCCUGGUGGUGCUAUGGGGUCAGACGUGAGCCCCAAGGACCCCAAAAGGACCCAGAGAUUGGAUCCUGGUGGUCCUACAAGGUCAUCUGGGAGCCCCAAGGACCCCAAAAGGACCCACUGAUUGGGUCCUGGUGGUGCUAUGGGGUCAGACGUGAGCCACAAGGACCCCAAAAGGACCCACAGAUUGGAUCCUGGUGGUCCUAUGGGGUCAGACGUGAGCCCCAAGGACCCCAAAAGGACACAGAGGGUCAUCAAAAGGACCCACAGAUUGGAUCCUGAUGGUCCUAUGGGGUCAUCUGAGACACCCAACCACCCCAGUGAUCCUAAAA
Molecule: long non-coding RNA, 1184 nt
Filed under: Phasianus colchicus (ring-necked pheasant)
Lineage: Eukaryota; Metazoa; Chordata; Aves; Galliformes; Phasianidae
Description: lncRNA (ENSPCLG00000017372.1)
Source: RNAcentral